AGAGUUUGAUCAUGGCUCAGGACGAACGCUGGCGGCGUGCUUAACACAUGCAAGUCGAACGGAAAGGCCCUUCGGGGUACUCGAGUGGCGAACGGGUGAGUAACACGUGGGUGAUCUGCCCUGCACUCUGGGAUAAGCCUGGGAAACUGGGUCUAAUACCGGAUAGGACCGCAUGCUUCAUGGUGUGUGGUGCAAAGCUUUUGCGGUGUGGGAUGAGCCCGCGGCCUAUCAGCUUGUUGGUGGGGUAAUGGCCUACCAAGGCGACGACGGGUAGCCGGCCUGAGAGGGUGACCGGCCACACUGGGACUGAGAUACGGCCCAGACUCCUACGGGAGGCAGCAGUGGGGAAUAUUGCACAAUGGGCGCAAGCCUGAUGCAGCGACGCCGCGUGAGGGAUGACGGCCUUCGGGUUGUAAACCUCUUCCAGUAGGGACGAAGCGAAAGUGACGGUACCUACAGAAGAAGGACCGGCCAACUACGUGCCAGCAGCCGCGGUAAUACGUAGGGUCCGAGCGUUGUCCGGAAUUACUGGGCGUAAAGAGCUCGUAGGUGGUUUGUCGCGUUGUUCGUGAAAACUCACAGCUUAACUGUGGGCGUGCGGGCGAUACGGGCAGACUAGAGUACUGCAGGGGAGACUGGAAUUCCUGGUGUAGCGGUGGAAUGCGCAGAUAUCAGGAGGAACACCGGUGGCGAAGGCGGGUCUCUGGGCAGUAACUGACGCUGAGGAGCGAAAGCGUGGGUAGCGAACAGGAUUAGAUACCCCGGUAGUCCAA
This 773-nucleotide ribosomal RNA is filed under the name uncultured bacterium. RNAcentral's name for it is "bacterial SSU rRNA". It matches the Rfam family "Bacterial small subunit ribosomal RNA", at positions 8 to 798 of the family's 1533-position model. The record is from RNAcentral.